UCACGCCUUGCCAAGAUCAUUCUUGGGAGAAACAUCAGGUCGCUAAAGGUUUCUCCCUUUCCCCCUCUCUUAAAAGAUAUUUGUAUAAUUCUUCCAACAAUAAUUCCUCUAUAGGAGCAGGUUGGUCUUGGUUUCAAUGGUUGAUUUCCAAUGAAAAGGGAGCCACAGCUGAUAUUUCCGCUUUGGCUCAAUUACGAGGAGUCCAAAGUUGGCUGUUUAAUGUUUCUGGCAGUACCUAAGACUCGGAGCGAGGUAGGAGGCUUAAAAUUUCUGCAAAUAAUUCACAAUUAUCUAAUGCUACAUUACCCUCCACAGCAGUCUGUCUCCAAUCUCCGUUCCUGUUUAUUUUGGCUAAUGAUACAUCACAGGGGAUGCUUAAUUGUUCUAAUGUUACCUGUUAUUUGUCUGAGUGUUGGAAUGGCUCCUUGA
This 429-nucleotide long non-coding RNA is filed under the name Marmota monax (woodchuck). The record is from RNAcentral. Lineage: Eukaryota; Metazoa; Chordata; Mammalia; Rodentia; Sciuridae.